This 84-nucleotide microRNA precursor is filed under the name Bombyx mori (domestic silkworm). RNAcentral's name for it is "mir-2807 microRNA precursor family". It matches the Rfam family "mir-2807 microRNA precursor family". The record is from Rfam by way of RNAcentral. Lineage: Eukaryota; Metazoa; Arthropoda; Insecta; Lepidoptera; Bombycidae.
UUAACUCAAAUUUGUAUGGAGUUGGAACGUUUGCCUACGUUUGACGCUAGGGGCGCUGUUCCAACUCCAUACAAAUUUGAGUUA